RNAcentral lists this unclassified non-coding RNA (892 nucleotides) under Hevea brasiliensis (rubber tree). Lineage: Eukaryota; Viridiplantae; Streptophyta; Magnoliopsida; Malpighiales; Euphorbiaceae. The record is from RNAcentral.
CGGUACUGCUGGUGGUAGCUGGGGUUCAGCUGGAAAUUCCGGUAGUGGUAAUGCUGGUGGUAGCUGGGGUUCAGUUGGAAAUUCUGGUAGUGGUAAUGCUGGUGGGUAUAAUGCAUAUAAUUAUACUGCCAGUGUGAAUCAGAGUGGUGGUAAUACUAAAACCCCUAAUCUUGGAGGUACAUCAUUGAAAAAUAUGUCUGGAAGUGGAGUUGGUGAAGGGAUGGGUGUUAAUAAGGACCCAUUUGGUUCGCUGGUUGAUUUUUCGUCUAAGCCGGGGCCUAAUAUGAAGUCAGAUAGUAAAGAAACUAAGAAGAAUAGUUCAGGGGAUGAUGUGUUCGGGAAUUUCCAAAAUGCUACCAAAUCAGAUGGACCAGGAUUUCCAUCAGAUCCAUUUCCUACAAGUAAUACUAAUGCUUCACCCGGGUUGAAUACAGGUGGUGCUUAUUCCAAGGUUGAUGAUUUCGGAUUCACUAAUACUCAGAGUCAACCAUCUGCUACUCAGUCUUCAGGUGUGGGUGAUUUUGAUUCACUUUUUUCAUCAACUAAUGCUUCAUCUGGAGAAGCUGCUGGAGGGAGUGAGAACCAGCAGUUUACAGGGGGUGAUGAUUGGGGCUUUGAAUCAGAGUUUGUGGGUGCUAAUGAUAGCAGUGGGACAACUGAAAUUGAAGGGCUUCCACCACCACCUUCUGGUGUGAGUGCUUCCGCUGCGAAGAACAAGGGAAUGGAUAAUCACAAGCAGGGACAAUAUGGUGAUGCCAUAAAAUGGUUGUCGUGGGCUGUCAUUCUUCUCGAGAAGGCUGGUGAUGAAGCUGGUGUAAUGGAAGUUCUGUCAAGUAGGGCUUCAUGUUACAAAGAGGUAGGAGAAUACAAGAAGGCUGUGGCUGACUGUACA